This 369-nucleotide ribosomal RNA is filed under the name Escherichia coli. RNAcentral describes it as "partial 23S ribosomal RNA". It matches the Rfam family "Bacterial large subunit ribosomal RNA", at positions 1380 to 1751 of the family's 2925-position model. The record is from RNAcentral. Lineage: Bacteria; Pseudomonadati; Pseudomonadota; Gammaproteobacteria; Enterobacterales; Enterobacteriaceae.
UGAGUCGACCCCUAAGGCGAGGCCGAAAGGCGUAGUCGAUGGGAAACAGGUUAAUAUUCCUGUACUUGGUGUUACUGCGAAGGGGGGACGGAGAAGGCUAUGUUGGCCGGGCGACGGUUGUCCCGGUUUAAGCGUGUAGGCUGGUUUUCCAGGCAAAUCCGGAAAAUCAAGGCUGAGGCGUGAUGACGAGGCACUACGGUGCUGAAGCAACAAAUGCCCUGCUUCCAGGAAAAGCCUCUAAGCAUCAGGUAACAUCAAAUCGUACCCCAAACCGACACAGGUGGUCAGGUAGAGAAUACCAAGGCGCUUGAGAGAACUCGGGUGAAGGAACUAGGCAAAAUGGUGCCGUAACUUCGGGAGAAGGCACGC